Helianthus annuus (common sunflower) is the source of this 948-nucleotide long non-coding RNA. RefSeq lists it as uncharacterized. The transcript has 4 exons. The record is from RefSeq and is a predicted model, not a curated record. Lineage: Eukaryota; Viridiplantae; Streptophyta; Magnoliopsida; Asterales; Asteraceae.
CCUAACCUUAAUCAUUUCCUCAAAAUUUCUGCCGCCUCUCUAUUUUUCUUCUCUCCUUUGUUCUUAAUCAAUUGUAAAAUGUCUUCUCCUACAUGAAAGAUCUGCUUUUUUUUCUACUCUUCACCUUCAUCGCAAUCUAACAGCUAUUUGGAGGUUCGAUUUCUGUUGAUUGAUUUCGAUAUAUUUGGGGUAAAAUCAUUGCAAUCUUGUGUUCCACAUAUAAGAUAUUUUAUCUAGGGUUUCCACACAAUCUAAAAACUAACCUGCUGCCGCAGAGCACCUCUUCAUCACUUUCAUUGGAGGUUUCAAAGACGGAGAUCCGCCACGUGUCUCGGAAAUGGAAGGAUCAAAUUCAACGCAGUCCUGAACGCACAAAGGUCUGGAUUGAGCCUAACAAACUUCGUAGAGUCGCCGUUGUUUACUACCUCUGCCGUAACGGCCAGCUUGAGCAUCCGCAUGUUAAUGUUUCUUUCUCCUGUUCUGAUGGACUGGAUCUUCGAGAUGUAAUAGAUUGUUUAAAUUCUCUUCGAGGAAAACGAGUGGCGGCAAUGUACUCGUGGUCUUCUAAACAGCUAUGUGACUUGCUGUAACGAUGAUGCUUUCGGAGUGGACAAGAUCUGUCAUGCGGCGUGGCUCAAAGGCUCCGAUGCUCAUGCUUUCGGAGUGGACGAUCGAUGUUCCAGAUCUAUCUAAACCGAUGUCGGAGAUAUCGCCGCUGAUUCUCCGCAACUUGCUAUUUAAACUUUCUAAUUUACACGUGUAUCAACUAAUAGCAACUAAUUUUGGUUAACUUUUGGGCACUUAGUGAAUUAAUUUUAUUCCCAAGAGACCAAAAUACUCAAAUGUAAACUGUAACAUCUUUGUUGUGCAGUGUGCAUAUAAUGAUGUUGAGUGUUGAUGAAUCAGGUUGUAGCAAAGAAGCAAACAAUUUCAUACCUGAAUGAUUUA